UACAGAGGUGGCAAGCGUUGUUCGGAAUUACUGGGCGUAAAGGGCGCGUAGGCGGCCUUCUAAGUCGGACGUGAAAUCCCCAGGCUUAACUUGGGAACUGCGUCUGAUACUGGGAGGCUUGAGUGCGGGAGAGGGAUGUGGAAUUCCCAGUGUAGCGGUGAAAUGCGUAGAUAUUGGGAGGAACACCAGUGGCGAAGGCGGCUCGCUGGACCGGUUCUGACGCUGAGGCGCGAAAGCGUGGGGAGCAAACAGG
This 253-nucleotide ribosomal RNA is filed under the name uncultured bacterium. RNAcentral describes it as "partial 16S ribosomal RNA". It matches the Rfam family "Bacterial small subunit ribosomal RNA", at positions 524 to 776 of the family's 1533-position model. The record is from RNAcentral.